UGGGGAAUUUUGGACAAUGGGCGAAAGCCUGAUCCAGCAAUGCCGCGUGUGUGAAGAAGGCCUUCGGGUUGUAAAGCACUUUUGUCCGGAAAGAAAUCCUUGGCUCUAAUACAGUCGGGGGAUGACGGUACCGGAAGAAUAAGCACCGGCUAACUACGUGCCAGCAGCCGCGGUAAUACGUAGGGUGCAAGCGUUAAUCGGAAUUACUGGGCGUAAAGCGUGCGCAGGCGGUUUGCUAAGACCGAUGUGAAAUCCCCGGGCUCAACCUGGGAACUGGCAUUGGUGACUGGCAGGCUAGAGUAUGGCAGAGGGGGGUAGAAUUCCACGUGUAGCAGUGAAAUGCGUAGAGAUGUGGAGGAAUACCGAUGGCGAAGGCAGCCCCCUGGGCCAAUACUGACGCUCAUGCACGAAAGCGUGGGGAGCAAACAGGAUUAGAUACCCCUGGUAGUCCACGCCCUAAACGAUGUCAACUAGUUGUUGGGGAUUCAUUUCCUUAGUAACGUAGCUAACGCGUGAAGUUGACCGCCUGGGGAGUACGGUCGCAAGAUUAAAACUUAAAUGAAUUG
RNAcentral lists this ribosomal RNA (566 nucleotides) under uncultured bacterium. RNAcentral describes it as "partial 16S ribosomal RNA". It matches the Rfam family "Bacterial small subunit ribosomal RNA", at positions 355 to 912 of the family's 1533-position model. The record is from RNAcentral.